GCAUGGUUGGUUCAAUGGUAGAAUUCUCACCUUCCAUGCAGGAGACCCAGGUUCAAUUCCUGGUCCGUGUA
Molecule: transfer RNA, 71 nt
Filed under: Loxodonta africana (African savanna elephant)
Lineage: Eukaryota; Metazoa; Chordata; Mammalia; Proboscidea; Elephantidae
Rfam family: tRNA
About the family: Transfer RNA (tRNA) molecules are approximately 80 nucleotides in length. Their secondary structure includes four short double-helical elements and three loops (D, anti-codon, and T loops). Further hydrogen bonds mediate the characteristic L-shaped molecular structure. tRNAs have two regions of fundamental functional importance: the anti-codon, which is responsible for specific mRNA codon recognition, and the 3' end, to which the tRNAs corresponding amino acid is attached (by aminoacyl-tRNA synthetases). tRNAs cope with the degeneracy of the genetic code in two manners: having more than one tRNA (with a specific anti-codon) for a particular amino acid; and 'wobble' base-pairing, i.e. permitting non-standard base-pairing at the 3rd anti-codon position.
Source: Rfam by way of RNAcentral